This 487-nucleotide ribosomal RNA is filed under the name uncultured bacterium. RNAcentral's name for it is "bacterial SSU rRNA". It matches the Rfam family "Bacterial small subunit ribosomal RNA", at positions 31 to 507 of the family's 1533-position model. The record is from RNAcentral.
GAACGCUAGCGGCAGGCUUAACACAUGCAAGUCGAGGGGCAGCAUGAUUGAACUUUCGGGUUCGAUUGAUGGCGACCGGCGCAAGGGUGCGUAACGCGUGAGCAACUUGCCCGUUUCAGGGGGAUAACCGGUGGAAACGCCGACUAAUACCCCAUAGUAUCAUGAUCAGGCAUCUUUUCAUGAUUAAAGAAUUUCGGAAACGGAUAGGCUCGCGUGACAUUAGCUAGAUGGCGGGGUAACGGCCCACCAUGGCGACGAUGUCUAGGGGUUCUGAGAGGAAGGUCCCCCACACUGGAACUGAGACACGGUCCAGACUCCUACGGGAGGCAGCAGUGAGGAAUAUUGGUCAAUGGCCGGGAGGCUGAACCAGCCAUGCCGCGUGAAGGUCACGGCCCUAUGGGUCUUAAACUUCUUUUGUAAGGGAGCAAUAAGGAUCACGUGUGGUCCGAUGAGAGUACCUUACGAAUAAGCAUCGGCUAACUCCGUG